Spea bombifrons (plains spadefoot toad) is the source of this 74-nucleotide non-coding RNA. Lineage: Eukaryota; Metazoa; Chordata; Amphibia; Anura; Pelobatidae. The record is from the annotation of a RefSeq genome assembly.
GGCGCCGUGGCUUAGUUGGUUAAAGCACCUGUUUCGUGAACAGGCCAUCCUGAGUUCGACUCUCAGCAGCGCCU